Molecule: ribosomal RNA, 253 nt
Filed under: uncultured bacterium
Lineage: Bacteria
Description: partial 16S ribosomal RNA
Rfam family: Bacterial small subunit ribosomal RNA
Source: RNAcentral
UACGGGGGGGGCAAGCGUUGUUCGGAAUUACUGGGCGUAAAGGGCUCGUAGGCGGCCAACUAAGUCCGACGUGAAAUCCCAAGGCUUAACCUUGGAACUGCGUCGGAUACUGGAUGGCUUGAAUUCGGGAGAGGGAUGCAGAAUUCCAGGUGUAGCGGUGAAAUGCGUAGAUAUCUGGAGGAACACCGGUGGCGAAGGCGGCAUCCUGGACCAAUUCUGACGCUGAGGAGCGAAAGCCAGGGGAGCAAACGGG